AAGUCGUAACAAGGUUUCCGUAGGUGAACCUGCGGAAGGAUCAUCACUGAUUCGGUCUUUUUUUCCACACACCCUGUGCACCGUGGGGGGCUGGGCGCGGGUUACCGCGCCGGCCCCCGCUCGUUUUUUACACGCCCGCGAACGCGCAUCUGAAACACACACACACAAAACAGACACAACUUUUAACAACGGAUCUCUUGGUUCUC
This 206-nucleotide unclassified non-coding RNA is filed under the name fungal sp. RNAcentral describes it as "partial internal transcribed spacer region". The stretch from base 1 to 46 matches the Rfam family "Eukaryotic small subunit ribosomal RNA", at positions 1786 to 1831 of the family's 1831-position model. The record is from RNAcentral. Lineage: Eukaryota; Fungi.